Non-coding RNA from Meleagris gallopavo (turkey), 1275 nucleotides. The record is from RefSeq and is a predicted model, not a curated record. Lineage: Eukaryota; Metazoa; Chordata; Aves; Galliformes; Phasianidae.
AUCCUAACUGUUCAGCUCAUGUUCAAGACAGUGAUUCCAAGUGCUCAGUUUUUACUUUACAGAAUUGAAGAAUAGUGGGAAUUGAAAGGGACCUCUGGAGAUCAUCUAGUCCAAGCUCUCUACUACAGCAGGUUCCCUAAAGCAACUUACACAGGAAAGCAUCCAAGUGGGUAUUGAAUAUUUUCAGAGAAGGAGACUCGAAAACGUUUUGCCUCAUAUUUGUAUGGAACUUUCAGUUUGUUCCCACUGCACUUUUUUCUCUUGCUGGGCACUCUUAUAAAGAGCCUGGCCCCAACCAUUUCACUCCUGCCCCUUAGAUAUUUAAAAGCAUUAGUAUGUUCCCCUUUCAGUCUUCUCUAGGCUAAACAGUCCCAGGUCGUUCAGCCUUUCAGAGUCACAGAAUAGUAGAAGGUUGGAAGUGGCCUUUAAGGAACAUCUUGUCCAAACCCAUGCUAAAGCAGGUUCCCUACAACAGGUUACACAGGGAAGAGUCCAGAGGGGUUUUCAAUAUACCCAGAGAAGAAGACUCCACAACCCCUCUGGGUAACCUGUUCCAGUGCACUGUCACCCUCUCACAGUGACAUAAUAAGAGAAAUCUUUCCCCACAAGGGAGAUGCUCCAGUCCCUUAAUAAUCUUUGUGGCCCUUCACUGAAGUCUCUCUAGAAGAUCCCUGUCUUUUUUGAAUUGAGAGCCCAGAACUGCACACAUACUACUCCAGAUGCUCAUGGUCAACCUGAUGUCCACUAGGACCAUCCCAAGGUCGUCCUCCACAGAGUUCCUUCACAGUAGGCUCAACUGACUUCUUCCUGAAGCUCUGCUACAGCAGGAGUCCCAGAAACCAAGCCACACCACUGAGGCCUGCCUGAUGCCAUCAGAGCUGGCCAAUGUGGGAGCCACAAGUCCCAGAAUUUGGGGAAGAAUCAUCUUUCAAAUCUCCCAAGGAUUUGGAGUAAUGCUUCUGCUAAUGCAUGCAACUUCACUGAUACUGCCAUGAAUGUGAAGCUGAACUACCACCACAGAGGAUAAGAAAUAUGAAAUAGGCAUGGCUGCAUCUUUGAUUUACUCUUCAUGGGGUAGAACAUUCAAAGUAAUGAACCAAGCUUGGAGUACAGGAAUUGAACGUCACCACAUCUCAGCUCUGAAUUUGGGUUGUAGAUCUGGACCAUUUGGACCUAACGCUUCCUUCAAAUGAACAAUGUGAUUUCAAUUUAAAGGAAAAAAAACAUAAGAGUAAGUAGAGAAAAUUUGGUAUAGAAAAUUAAAGAAAAAGAAAG